AUUCUGCCCAUGCGGGGAAGGAUGAGAAGCUUCGACCAAGGUUCGACUCGAGCGCCAGCGAGAGAGCGUUGCCGCAGGCAACGACCCGUAGGGCGAAGCGCGCAGCGCUGAGUAAUCCUUCUCCCACCACCA
Molecule: small RNA, 132 nt
Filed under: Escherichia coli
Lineage: Bacteria; Pseudomonadati; Pseudomonadota; Gammaproteobacteria; Enterobacterales; Enterobacteriaceae
Description: RtT sRNA
Rfam family: RtT RNA
About the family: This family represents a bacterial cis-regulatory element known as RtT RNA. The exact function of RtT is unknown although it is thought that it may be involved in changing the cellular response in relation to amino acid starvation.
Source: RNAcentral